UGUAAGAGAAAGACCAGUGAGGCCCAUUCUACGCCCCUGGCACAGUUGGUCCAUGUUAUGUUAUGUUAUGUAAGAGAAAGACCAGUGAGGCCCAUUCUACGCCCCUGGCACAGUUGGACCAUGUAGGGGGCUAUUGGUGACAAAUUCAUCCUUGAUGUGAUUAGCUGUGAUGUGAUGCAUUUCAUGUUAUCAUAUGUUUUAAAUGUUUUAUUAUUCUGCUCACUGGGCUCUUGUAGCUCACCCCUCUCCCUUAACCCCCAGGUUUGCAGGUACAGGGUAGACCAGGAGGUCAGCAAGAGUAAAGAAGUCUUGUGUAUGUAAUAGUUAGAAUGUGGACAUGACAAAUUGUAUAAUGAUGUAUAGAUAUGUAAUGUAACGAUGUUGAGGUUA
This 390-nucleotide long non-coding RNA is filed under the name Manihot esculenta (cassava). Its description in RNAcentral is "long non-coding RNA (MESC_LNC008427)". Lineage: Eukaryota; Viridiplantae; Streptophyta; Magnoliopsida; Malpighiales; Euphorbiaceae. The record is from RNAcentral.